Molecule: ribosomal RNA, 301 nt
Filed under: uncultured bacterium
Lineage: Bacteria
Description: bacterial SSU rRNA
Rfam family: Bacterial small subunit ribosomal RNA
Source: RNAcentral
GUGUCAGCAGCCGCCGCGGUAAUACGUAGGGUGCGAGCGUUAAUCGGAAUUACUGGGCGUAAAGCGUGCGUAGGCGGUUAUUUAAGUCAGAUGUGAAAGCCCCGGGCUUAACCUGGGAACUGCAUUUGAUACUGGAUGACUAGAGUUGAGUAGAGGGGAGUGGAAUUUCAGGUGUAGCGGUGAAAUGCGUAGAGAUCUGAAGGAACACCAGUGGCGAAGGCGGCUCCCUGGACUCAAACUGACGCUGAGGUACGAAAGCGUGGGUAGCAAACAGGAUUAGAUACCCUGGUAGUCCACGCCG